RNAcentral lists this ribosomal RNA (1500 nucleotides) under metagenome. RNAcentral describes it as "bacterial SSU rRNA". It matches the Rfam family "Bacterial small subunit ribosomal RNA". The record is from RNAcentral.
AGAGUUUGAUCAUGGCUCAGAUUGAACGCUGGCGGCAGGCCUAACACAUGCAAGUCGAACGGUAACAGGAAGCAGCUUGCUGCUUCGCUGACGAGUGGCGGACGGGUGAGUAAUGUCUGGGAAGCUGCCUGAUGGAGGGGGAUAACUACUGGAAACGGUAGCUAAUACCGCAUAAUGUCGCAAGACCAAAGAGGGGGACCUUCGGGCCUCUUGCCAUCGGAUGUGCCCAGAUGGGAUUAGCUUGUUGGUGGGGUAACGGCUCACCAAGGCGACGAUCCCUAGCUGGUCUGAGAGGAUGACCAGCCACACUGGAACUGAGACACGGUCCAGACUCCUACGGGAGGCAGCAGUGGGGAAUAUUGCACAAUGGGCGCAAGCCUGAUGCAGCCAUGCCGCGUGCAUGAAGAAGGCCUUCGGGUUGUAAAGUACUUUCAGCGGGGAGGAAGGGAGUAAAGUUAAUACCUUUGCUCAUUGACGUUACCCGCAGAAGAAGCACCGGCUAACUCCGUGCCAGCAGCCGCGGUAAUACGGAGGGUGCAAGCGUUAAUCGGAAUUACUGGGCGUAAAGCGCACGCAGGCGGUUUGUUAAGUCAGAUGUGAAAUCCCCGGGCUCAACCUGGGAACUGCAUCUGAUACUGGCAAGCUUGAGUCUCGUAGAGGGGGGUAGAAUUCCAGGUGUAGCGGUGAAAUGCGUAGAGAUCUGGAGGAAUACCGGUGGCGAAGGCGGCCCCCUGGACGAAGACUGACGCUCAGGUGCGAAAGCGUGGGGAGCAAACAGGAUUAGAUACCCUGGUAGUCCACGCCGUAAACGAUGUCGACUUGGAGGUUGUGCCCUUGAGGCGUGGCUUCCGGAGCUAACGCGUUAAGUCGACCGCCUGGGGAGUACGGCCGCAAGGUUAAAACUCAAAUGAAUUGACGGGGGCCCGCACAAGCGGUGGAGCAUGUGGUUUAAUUCGAUGCAACGCGAAGAACCUUACCUGGUCUUGACAUCCACGGAAGUUUUCAGAGAUGAGAAUGUGCCUUCGGGAACCGUGAGACAGGUGCUGCAUGGCUGUCGUCAGCUCGUGUUGUGAAAUGUUGGGUUAAGUCCCGCAACGAGCGCAACCCUUAUCCUUUGUUGCCAGCGGUCCGGCCGGGAACUCAAAGGAGACUGCCAGUGAUAAACUGGAGGAAGGUGGGGAUGACGUCAAGUCAUCAUGGCCCUUACGACCAGGGCUACACACGUGCUACAAUGGCGCAUACAAAGAGAAGCGACCUCGCGAGAGCAAGCGGACCUCAUAAAGUGCGUCGUAGUCCGGAUUGGAGUCUGCAACUCGACUCCAUGAAGUCGGAAUCGCUAGUAAUCGUGGAUCAGAAUGCCACGGUGAAUACGUUCCCGGGCCUUGUACACACCGCCCGUCACACCAUGGGGGUGGGUUGCAAAAGAAGUAGGUAGCUUAACCUUCGGGAGGGCGCUUACCACUUUGUGAUUCAUGACUGGGGUGAAGUCGUAACAAGGUA